RNAcentral lists this long non-coding RNA (2770 nucleotides) under Heterocephalus glaber (naked mole-rat). Its description in RNAcentral is "lncRNA (ENSHGLG00100046588.1)". Lineage: Eukaryota; Metazoa; Chordata; Mammalia; Rodentia; Bathyergidae. The record is from RNAcentral.
GUAGGUGAGGUUCCAGGAGAGGCAGAAGCCGGAUUUUCUCAGCAUGCCCUGCAGGAAGCCUCACUGGGCUCCGGCCAUGCUUGUAUGACAGGGACGCCAACCACCUCCUCCCAAGCCACCCCGGGCAGUGCCCAGGCCCCACCCCACCCUGUGUGAUGGCUGAAACCAAGCAGGUCAUGCUCCUGUGUGUGGGGUGUGGCUUCAAGCACAGGGGCUUCUCUCUCUCCCUUUUUUUUGGUACCGGGGAUUGAACUCGGAACCUUGCACUCGUGAGGCAGGUGUCAAAAGCACUGAGCUAAAUCCCCAGCUCUUCCUUUUUUGGGGACAGAGUCUCACUGUGUAGCCCUGGCUGGCUUCAAACUCACCAAAAUCCCCCUGCCUCAGCCUCCUGAGUGUUGAGACUAUAGGUAGGAUUAUAGGUGUGCACUCCUUUUUUUUUCCUUCCAAUCCUAAGGCUAGAAUCCCAGGCCCUUGUGGGUGUGAGGCUAUUGCUCUGCCCCUGAGCCACACUCCCAGGGCACAGAGGGGCUCUUAUCACCCUCAACGAGUCCCAAAUCUUGCCCAGUGGCCAGCUCUUGAGAUGCCUGCUAUAAUGUUUCCAAGAUGGAAUCUAACUCCUUACUUGUUAUCACCCCAACUGGAGAAAAGGCCCCCAUGUUUCUCUCAUUAGAUCUGGGUGAAGCCAGGUAUGGGAUCACACGUCUACAAUCCCAGCACUCUGGGAGGCUGAGACAGGAGGAUCAAAAGUUCAAGCCCUGCCUAGGUGACAUAGCAAGUUAGUGAGCUCCUGCCUCAAAUAUAAAAUAAAGAGGACUGAAAAAAAAAAAUACAAGGGGAUUUAGCUCAGUGUUUCCGCUGCCUGCAUCACAAGCUCAAGGUCCCAAGUUUGAUCUCCAGGUCAAUAAAUAAAUAAAUAAUAAAAUAAAAUAAAGAGGGCUGAGGAGGUAGCUGAGUGGGACGGGCCUGAGUUCCGUCCCCACUACUGCAAAAAACGAAACAAAACCAGAGGUGAAAUGAUUCAUGCCUCAACCCCAGCUGCCUGGGAACCUGUCUUCCUGCAGGGAACACUUCCGGGGAGGCUGGAACGGCCCCACCUGCCCCUCUGGUGCCAGGCAUCUGGGAGAGAUCAAAUCCCAGUCUGGCUGGGGAUUUAGCUCAGUGGCACUGUGCCUGCCUCGAAAACGUAAGGUCCUGAGUUCAAUCCCUGGUACCCCCCCCCCCCAAAAUCCCAGUCAGCCUGUGGGGUGAGGUUAUGGAUUGGUUGCCAGGGAGAAUUCUCCUCGAAAACACGUGCAGGGUGCUUGCUGCCCCUGUUGGGUUCUGGAAGACUCUGUCUUGCGAGGCAGGUGGGGGAACCACUGAGCUAAAUCCCCGGCUAUUGGGUUUUGUUUUAUUGAGACAGAGUCCUGCUACGUAUUUCGGGCUGGACUUGAACUUACUGUGCAGGUCACCUUGUCCUCAAACUCCCAAAGAUCCUCCUGCUUCAGCCUCCCAAGCACUGGGAUUUCAGGCGUGUGCCACCAUCCCUGGCCUACUUUGGAUUUUUGAGACAGAGUCUGUCUUUGUACUCCAGGCUGGCCUUGAACUCUGGAUUCCCCUGCCUCAGCUUCCAGAGUGCUCAGAUCACAGGCAUGUGCCACCACACCUGGCUUCCCUUUUUAUUUAUUUAUUACUUUGCAUAUUUCCCUUUCCUGCCAGGUUGGUAAGGCUGUUCUAGAGAAGAAUAAACAUUUUCCUGGAUUUCAUUCAUCAUCCCCACCCCCACCCCGCCACCCCUGUACUGGGAUGGAACCCAGGGUGUGUGUGUGCAUGUGUAUGUGUGUGUGUGUGUGCACUCAUGUGUUCCUGGGCUGUGGCCGCUUCCCAGAGCUGCCCGGGCAUGCCGAGGGGGAGAAGGCUGCCCUCACGGGGUUUCCCACUGAGUAACUAGUUGCACUUGGGGUUGUCAGGUCACGGGGGAGCCCGAGGGCCUUCAGGUUCCCUAAUAAAACAUGAAUAAUGGUUUUGGAGCAUGGGAAAGGCAGAGGACAGAGGACACGCACCCAGCACACAGUGUCUUGUCACCUGAGCCCGCUGGGGGCAUCAGGAGCAGGGGCUGGUGGGUCGCAGGUCGCACUCUGUGAAUGGGGGCCCCAAGACCCCACGAUGUGUGGGCGCUGUGCUCCCUCGGUAGGGGUGGCCAAGUUCCGUAUGUGAGGGUUCUUUGGGCAGUUCUGGAUAUUGAAUCCGGGGAACACUGUGUUACACUCCUAGACCUUUUGAAUGUAUUUUGAGACAAAGGCUUGCUAAAUGGCCCAGGUUGUCCUCAAAUUUUUGAACCUCUUACCUCAGCCUCUCCAAUAGCUGGGACAACAGGGAUGAGCCACCAUGUCCAGUUCAGAUUAGGAUUCUUUGGGGGGGGGGUAUGGGGAUCGAACUCAGGACCUUGUACUUGUGAGGCAGGCACUGGAACCGCUAAGCUAAAUCCCUGGCCCCAGAUUAGGAUUUUUUUUUUUUUUUGGCACCAGGGAUUGAACUUGGGUCCUUGCCCUUGCGGAGCAGGCGGUGAAACCACUGAGCUAAAUCCCCGGCCCCAGGUUAGGAUUUUUGAUAAUCCGGAUGUGUUCAAGGAGAACAGGACAAGAUCUCGGGUACUAUGUUCCAGUGCUCCGAAAGCUGACUAGAACAUCAACUCUACCUGGCUGGGCAUGGUGGUGCACACCUGUAAUCCCAAUACUUGGGAGGCUGAGGCAGGAGGAUUUUAAGUUUGACCCCAGCCUGGUCAAUUUAG